GUGGGGUGCAGUAAAUUAGAAGGGAUGUCAGAUAAUGUGAAAGUGGUCUCGGCCUUGAAAGAUGGUACUUCUAGCUUAGUUGCAAGUGCCAUUUUCGAUGACUGUUAUUAUAUGUCAUUAGAUUUUAAUCACGUUGUGUAUGAUCACUGUAAUAGGGAGAGCAACCAGGUCGCUUAUGAACUAGCUAGGCUAGCUAAGUACUCUCCCCCAAGUAUCUGGAUGGAUUCUCCUCCAAAUGAGGUGGUUCCCUUGGUUGUAAACGAUGCUACUCUAUUGACUGAAUAA
Molecule: ribosomal RNA, 285 nt
Filed under: Triticum aestivum (bread wheat)
Lineage: Eukaryota; Viridiplantae; Streptophyta; Magnoliopsida; Poales; Poaceae
Description: partial small subunit ribosomal RNA
Source: RNAcentral